GAACGAACGCUGGCGGCGUGGAUAAGACAUGCAAGUCGAGCGCUCGAGUUCAAGGGUAGCAAUAUUCUUGAGUCGGAGCGGCGCAAGGGUGCGUAACACGUGGGUAAUCUGCCGUGAAGUUGGGGAUAACUCGCUGAAAGGCGAGCUAAUACCGAAUGUGAAAAUUGAAAGGCAUCUUUUGAUUUUUAAAGUUGGGGAUCGUAACGACCUGACGCUUCAUGAUGAACCUGCGGCCUAUCAGCUAGUUGGUGAGGUAACGGCUC
Molecule: ribosomal RNA, 263 nt
Filed under: uncultured bacterium
Lineage: Bacteria
Description: partial 16S ribosomal RNA
Rfam family: Bacterial small subunit ribosomal RNA
Source: RNAcentral